AAGAUGCUAGUAAAAUUAGACAUAACACCAUUUUGUCAAGAUGGAGUUGUGGGUUAGACCCCCGCGCAUCUUG
RNAcentral lists this transfer RNA (73 nucleotides) under Aldrichetta forsteri (yellow-eye mullet). RNAcentral describes it as "tRNA-Asp". It matches the Rfam family "tRNA". From Rfam's summary of the family: Transfer RNA (tRNA) molecules are approximately 80 nucleotides in length. Lineage: Eukaryota; Metazoa; Chordata; Actinopteri; Mugiliformes; Mugilidae. The record is from RNAcentral.